GAAUUGAUCGCAACCAAAGAUGAGCAAGGGCGCAGUAAUUGACGAUAUAUUUCGGGGAGUUGAAAAUAAUCAUAAAUCUGGAGAUAUUAAGAUAUGGCAACCUUUCAAACUGAUGGUGAAUGGUUGGACAGUAAAGAGACAACCUGGCGAACUAAAACUUAUUAGUAGCUAGACUAAUAGAAAGUAAAAGUAAUUCCCAUAGUAGCAGCGAGCGAAAUGGGAGCAGCCUAAUCCGUGAAAACGGGGUUGCGGGAGAGAAAUACAACCGUCGUGUUUAUAGGCAAGCAGCCUUAAUGCUUCAUCGUAGAUGACAAAACUCCUGUAUCCGAAAGCAUCACUAGCUUACGCUCUCACCCGAGUAGCUUGAGCGACAUGGAAUCCCAUGUGAAUCAGCACGGACCACCUUGCAAGUUUAAAUAAUCUUGGGUGACCGAUAGAAAAGUAGUAUCACGAGGGAAGGGUGAAAAGAACCACUAUCGGGGAUUGAAAUAGAACAUGAAACCAUAAGCUCCCAAGUAGUUGGAGGAGUCAGGGAUUUGGCUGUGUGCCUGUUGAAGAAUGAGUCGUCGACUCAUAGGAAGUGGCUUGGUUAAGGGAACCCACCAGAGUCGUAGCGAAACCGAGUCUUCAAAGGGAAAUUUUUCACCGCUUAUGUACCCAAACCUUGAUUAUCUAUCCAUUACUAGGAUGAAUCUUAGGUGAAACUAAGUGGAGGUCUGAACCGAAUAAUGUUGAAGAAUUAGCGGAUGAUUUGUGGUUACGGGAAAAAUGACACACAAACCCAGAGCUAGCUGGUUCUCCCAAAAAGCUUUGUGUCGCAGCUGUUUAAUGAACAUCUAGGGGUAAAGAACUAUUUUGCUGCGGGCCGUGAGAGCGGUAACAUAUAAAACCAAACUCUAAAUACUAUAUAUUACCUCAAAAUAACAGGGGUGAAGGUUGGCUAGUGAGAUUGUGGGAGAUAAGAUUUAUGGUCGAGAGGGAAACAACAUGGAUCGCCAGCUAAGGCCCCGAAAUGACCACUUACUGAUAAUGGAGCUGAGGGUGCAGAGAGAGCCAGGGGGUUUACCUAGAAGAAGACACCUUUUAAAGAGUGAAUAAUAGCAGACUUAUUGAGCACUAUUUCCGCAAAGAUGAACGGGGCUAAGCGGUUUGCCGAAGCAAUCAGAUGUAAAAAUAUAUCGGUAGGGGAGCGUUCCUUCUUAGAGAGAAGCACUGGGCGACACACGUGCUUCGGGUCUAUGUA
This 1243-nucleotide non-coding RNA is filed under the name Solanum lycopersicum (tomato). Its description in RNAcentral is "Bacterial large subunit ribosomal RNA". It matches the Rfam family "Bacterial large subunit ribosomal RNA", at positions 27 to 1283 of the family's 2925-position model. The record is from Rfam by way of RNAcentral. Lineage: Eukaryota; Viridiplantae; Streptophyta; Magnoliopsida; Solanales; Solanaceae.